RNAcentral lists this ribosomal RNA (513 nucleotides) under Candidatus Bathyarchaeota archaeon. Its description in RNAcentral is "bacterial LSU rRNA". It matches the Rfam family "Archaeal large subunit ribosomal RNA", at positions 2380 to 2898 of the family's 2987-position model. Lineage: Archaea; Thermoproteati; Candidatus Bathyarchaeota. The record is from RNAcentral.
AAGGUCGGCUCAGACGGGACAGAAACCCGUCGUAGAGUGCAAAGGCAAAAGCCGGCCUGACUGGAUCCUCCACAGUAAGGGAUCCAGAGGCGAAAGCCGGGCUUAGCGAUCAUCCAUGUCCCCAUUGGUGGGGGCUGGAUGUGACAGAAAAAUUACCCCGGGGAUAACAGGCUUGUCGCGGGCGAGAGUCCCCAUCGACCCCGCGGCUUGGUACCUCGAUGUCGGCUCUUCCUAUCCUGGCCCUGCAUAAGGGGCCAAGGGUGAGGCUGCUCGCCUAUUAAAAGGGAACGUGAGCUGGGUUUAGACCGUCGUGAGACAGGUCGGACUUUAUCUGCUGGGAGUGCUGGCUGCCUGAGGGGAAAGGGUCCCCAGUACGAGAGGAACGGGACGCUGUGGCCACUAGUUUACCGGUUGUCCGACAGGGCAAAUGCCGGGCAGCCACGCCGCUGAGGAUAAGGGCUGAAAGCAUCUAAGCCCGAAGCCUCUCCCGAAAAUAGGCAGCCAUUCCCCUAA